UCUAUUUGCCCUUGUACAAUAAAAACGUGUUUAUAAUUUUUAUUUUAAAAAUCUGUGUGUGGCUUUUUCUAGAAAUUCGUCAACAAAGCUUAUGGGCCCAGGAAGCGAAAAAUUAAAAAAAAUAGCUGUGCCGUGAAUAAAUUACAAAUUAAACGGGUUGUGUAACGCAAACUAAAAUAAAUGUCACUGUCAAAAUGUCACCAAUAUUUCAAAUGGAAAAAUUGUAGAUAAUACAAGAAAUAUUAUUAUCUAGGAAAGCAAAUCGUGUAUUGGAUGAAGAUAUGAGUGAACCAAAACAAGCAGUUGAAGAAACUGAAGCCCUAAUAGAGGUAUCUGCUCCAGAUGAAGAUUUGAAUUUCAAUGUAUUGCGAUCUGGAAGGCAAAUUAGGAACAAUCUCAUAAAAACUGACAUUAAAGACGAUCAAAAAACUGUGGACGAAGCAUUGUCAAGAAAUGAUCACGAUAUGUGGAUUCAAUCGAUGACAGCCGAAUACUAGUCCUUAGUCGAUAAAUGAACGUGGAAAGUGGUGGAUAGUAAAUGGAGUACCUAUUGUAAAGUGUAAGUGGGUGUUCACAAAGAAACACGAUAAGAAUGGAAACGUAGAGCGUUACAAAUCAAGAUUGGUCGCGAAAGGUUGUAGUCAGAAAAAUGGUAAGGAGAAAUACUCCAACGGGGCCUUUACAACUUUCUCAAAAGAAUAUGAUUUUGGAAUUGUUAAAAGAAAAUGAAAUGGAAAACGUCAGAAAGGUUGCUACUCCAUUAGAUCCUGGUCAAAAGUUUAAUAAAUGUACAAAUAGCUGUGUUAAUUGUAAGAAAGAAAUCCUAUCAGUCUCUAAUUGGUUCCUUAAUGUAUAUUGGAUUAUGUGCAAGACCGGAUAUCCUACAUGUUGUCACGAAAUUAUCUCAAUUUAUUAUUAACGAUCCGCAUUCUGAACAUGUGAGUGGAGCUCAUCAUGUGAUAUCUAAAUGCAACCAUAAACCAAAGAUUUGAGUAUAACUGCACUGGCAAACCAUUAUAGGGAUUUGUAGAUGCAGACUGGACAGGUAGCUCAGAUGAGAGAGAAAAUCAUUCACUGGUUUUAUAUUUAUAUUGGCUGGAGCUGCUGUGAUGUUUGAAAUAAAAAAUAACCAACUGUGGCGUUAAGUAGCACCGAAGCCGAAUAUAUGGCUUUAUCUGCAGCGACUAAGGAGAUCAUUUAUAUUCGAAAUUUGCUGACUAAAAUUGGUUUUGGAAGACUUGUGAGAAAUGCAACACCAUUGUAUGGAGACAACAUUGAAUUCCAACUGAAUAGUGUUUUGCCGACCUUGUGGCCUAUAAACUGAAAAAUCGUUUUAAAUAAUGAAAUAUAAUUGACAGAAUUCAUUGGCUUUAAUAGUUUACGGAGUGAAGGAAUCGAAAGCUUAGUCGAGCUGACUUUGAAUACUCAACAUUAUGGAUUUAUGUAAAAGUUUAUACAAAGUAGCUACUAUUUCACAUGUUUUCAUCGGCCUAUAUUUGUAAAGGGUACGGAUUUAGACGACAUAAGCGUUCUUCACAUGCCAAAUAUUACCGUAAUUACGAGCCUACAUCAAUCAAGGGACAUAGAUGGCAGCAUUCGAUGUUCUUAAAAUAUUAAUAAUCAGCAAAAUUGAUUAUCUAGGGCCUCACUUCAAAGUCAAAUUGGAGAAUUGGUUGAUAUGGACCUUUUUGCACAAAAAUCGUUUCAAUGGGAGCAGUAGCUACUUAUGAAAAUAAGUAACAAUUAGUUUUGCUUAAAGAAAACGUAAUAGCACAAAAUUUCAUCCAAAUCGUUUAAUAAUUGUGGGCUCUAAAGGCCCAAUAAGUCAAAUAAGGAGGUUGGUUUAUUUGGCAGCUAUAUCGAAGCAUAGACCGAUUUGGCCCAUUUACAAUCCCAACCAACAUGCAGUAAUGAGAAGUAUUUGUGCAAAAAAAGCAGACAAAAUGACAAAUAAAUGGUUUAACAGCGAAUAACGGGAUCUAAAGCGUGAAAAAAUUCUGAAAUGCCAAAAAGUCGAAAAGUCCGAAAAGAUUCAUCAAUCGCCGGAGUAUUUAUAAACAUGCGAGAAAUAAGUAAAACAUCAAACUACAAAUGGAAAAAAGUAAAUAUAUUAACAACAAGAUUAGAAGUGCAAUCGACUAAAAAUAAAUGUGAAGAAAUAUUAAAGAUUCGGUAAUGAAAGAAACACAAGCUGUGAUAAAAUCUGUGAUAUUUAAUAAAGUAUAGUAUGUGGAAAAUAAACCCAUUGCAAACGAAAUUAAUAAUUAUUU
Stomoxys calcitrans (stable fly) is the source of this 2270-nucleotide long non-coding RNA. RefSeq lists it as uncharacterized. NCBI's taxonomy places the organism in Eukaryota, Metazoa, Arthropoda, Insecta, Diptera, Muscidae. The transcript is spliced from 2 exons. The record is from RefSeq and is a predicted model, not a curated record.